CUUCUUCUUCACACAUGAAGAAAAAUACUGCCUCAACCCUGUUAUUCUUUAGCUCCCUUGAUGUGUGCCAUACUAAAAUACAAGAUGUGUAGCAGCCUCAAGGUCCUUUGAAUUCAUAUCCUUAACUUCAUAAGAAGUCAUAGGUGAGUGAGAUAUAACUGGUACUAGUUUAAACAGGUGCAUAAGAUUGGCAUUGCUAGAUAAGAUUUAGAAAGUGAGGGGAAUAUAAGAAGUCAUGCUUCAUAGAAGAUCCUUACAAGUCCCAACUGAGAGCUACUCUAAACAAUGACUGUCCUUGAACAAGGCUUCUAACCUAGUUUAAAGUUGGUUUUUCCUCUUAAGUCGACUGUGCCUCUUAAGUCAGUCAUGCGACCAAGUCAGUUGAGCCUUCAAGGCAAUCACAUCAUAAAAAU
Molecule: long non-coding RNA, 413 nt
Filed under: Musa acuminata (dwarf banana)
Lineage: Eukaryota; Viridiplantae; Streptophyta; Magnoliopsida; Zingiberales; Musaceae
Description: long non-coding RNA (MACU_LNC010865)
Source: RNAcentral